RNA transcript from Pseudonaja textilis, 4657 nucleotides. It is a transcript of the gene named suppression of tumorigenicity 7 like, with no coding region annotated. Lineage: Eukaryota; Metazoa; Chordata; Lepidosauria; Squamata; Elapidae. The record is from RefSeq and is a predicted model, not a curated record.
GGCCCGAGGGCGGGAGUGAUGGCGGAGAGUACCCCUGUGAAUGAGGAUGCUGCGCCGUCUCUCUCCCAGUCGCCUGGCCUUGGGCCCGGCCCUCGGCGGUGGGAGCGGCUGAGGCUGGCUGCAGGGCCCUGGGCGCGGUCAUUUGGCUUCCUGGCGGUGCUGGGUCUCCUUUAUUUGUUGCGGGGCCCGCUCCGGUUGCGGGACAACUUAGUGGCAGUAACUGUUUUCUUGAGCACGCUGACUCCAAAAUUCUAUGUUGCACUUACGGGGACUUCAUCUUUGAUAUCAGGUCUGAUAUUUAUAUUUGAAUGGUGGUACUUCAGAAAAUAUGGCAUGUCUUUUAUUGAACAGGUUUCUGUGAGUCAUUUGCGACCACUCAUUGGAGGGGCAGACAAUGCUAGUUCUGCACAGGCAAAUUUUUCUGCUGCUAGUGGAGACAAUGAAAUGAACAGACAAAAUCUCUCAGAGUGCAAAGUAUGGAGAAAUCCACUCAAUCUCUUCAGAGGAGCAGAAUAUAACAGAUAUACAUGGGUGACAGGAAAGGAGCCACUAACAUAUUAUGAUAUGAACUUAUCUGCUCAGGAUCAUCAGAGUUUUUUUACCUGUGAAACAGACUCUCUUAGGCCUUCAGAUGCAGUUAUGCAGAAGGCAUGGCGGGAAAGGAAUCCUCAGGCCCGAAUCAAAGCAGCACAUCAAGCUUUAGAAUUAAAUAAUGACUGUGCCACAGCAUACAUUCUUCUGGCUGAGGAAGAAGCAACUACUAUUUUAGAAGCUGAAAAAUACUUUAAACAAGCUCUGAGGGCUGGAGAAACAGUUUAUAAAAAGUCUCAGCAUAGCAGUUCACAAAAUCCACACCAUGAGGCACAGCUUAGAAGAGACACCAAUGUAUUGGUAUAUGUGAAAAGAAGACUAGCUAUGUGUGCAAGAAAGCUUGGAAGAAUUAAAGAAGCAGCAAAAAUGAUGAGGGAUUUAAUGAAAGAAUUCCCUGUCUUAAGUGUAUUGAAUAUCCAUGAAAACCUGCUAGAAACACUUCUGGAACUACAGGCUUAUGUGGAUGUCCAGGCAGUUCUAGCAAAGUAUGAUGAUAUCAGCCUUCCAAAAUCAGCAGCAAUAUGUUACACAGCAGCACUCUUAAAAGCAAGAGCAGUUUCAGAUAGGUUUUCUCCAGAAACAGCUUCUAGAAGGGGACUUAGCACAGCCGAAAUUAAUGCUGUAGAAGCAAUACAUAGAGCAGUAGAAUUUAAUCCUCAUGUUCCAAAGUACUUGCUAGAAAUGAAAAGCUUAAUUUUGCCCCCUGAGCACAUUCUGAAGCGUGGGGACAGUGAAGCAGUAGCCUACGCAUUCUUCCAUCUUCAGCACUGGAAGCGAAUAGAAGGGGCCCUUAACUUGCUGCACUGCACGUGGGAAGGCACAUUUAGAAUGAUUCCAUAUCCAUUAGAAAAGGGUCAUCUAUUUUAUCCUUAUCCCAGUUGCACAGAGACAGCAGAUAGAGAGUUAUUACCAACAUUUCAUGAUGUGUCUGUAUAUCCCCAGAAAGAUCUUCCUUUUUUCAUCCAUUUUACAGCAGGGCUAUGUUCUUUCACAGCAAUGUUAGCCCUUCUCACACACCAGUUUCCAGAACUCAUGGUCAUUUUUGCUAAAGCUAUGGUACCUCCUAAGAGCUGAAGUAACAGGGGUAGCUUUAUUACGGAGCAAUGCAAAACAGUUAUUGAUGACUGUUUCCAAGUUUUUUGGAACUCUUUUGUCACCUUUGAGCUUCUUGAUGGAGAAGAUUGAACGCCUCAUGCCUUCUGGUCUCUGGCAUCAGCUGACCCAAAUCUGAACACAUCUCAGUUCACAUGAACUUUAACAUCAGCCCCUCUUGACUACAAAAGCAUUGGCAACUAAGAGUGUGAAGGAAGACUUACUUAGCUUUGUUUUAUAGGCUGUUAAAAAUUGCUGUACUUAAGCCUAAAAUAUUGUAGAUUUAAAAUCCACAAUUCAAUGUCUGAGCGGGUGAGUGGGGAGAGGAUUGUUGUACUUAAGGCUACUGCUUUCUCUCUCAGAAAUUACAGAAAGCAAUAAAUCUGAUAGAUCCUAUGUUGAAAUUUCCUUCUGAAGUGGAGAUAUGCUUAAAUGUUUAUUAGCCAAGAAUCUAACCCACAGAUCUUGUCUUACUGACCACUUGCCAAGAUACACAGCCCUGUAGAGGGCCCACUGCCAGUACAUCAAGCCUCCUGCUUCUUGCUGUUGUUUCACUUGUUUACUUCUAAAGAAAGGAGCAGUUAACAGAAAAACAAGAAAAAAGAACCAUAGCCUGCACUUGCUUUACUCUCUCUAUCCUGAUUUAAGGUAACAAGAUGAAGAAAAGGGAGCAAGAAGUACCAUAGAAAUGGUACUUCUAAUGCUAGCUAAUGCUAGUCUUGAAAGCAGGAGAUAAUUCUGUUGAUACUUGGCUCUGAACCAUUCUUAAUUAUGGGGAUCUUCCAACUGGUUGCUACAUAUUGUGUUUUUUGAGGAUUAUCUGAUUUACAGUUAUUUUUGGAUUUAUUUAUUUGAUUCUGGGUAGCAAAUGGUGAAUUAAAACUAAUAAAAUCACAAAGGGAAUAAAUAAUACAUGCAUACACAUGCCAUGCCUAGGCCACACACAAAUCCAAGCCAAGUUGUAUAAUUGCACAAGGCUGUCAGUAUUUGGACCAUCAAUGUUUCAGGCAUAUGCUGUUCCACAGAGAAUGCACAGUAAGAGAUAUAGACAGCACAUCCCUAUAAUAGUUCUUUACCUUUAAGAUAGGAAAGAAUAUAAAUUUUUAUUUGGACAGGAUCAUUUAUUAUACAUAAGUAAAUACAUAGCCUGUGCAGCCUACUCAUUUUAUUAAGAAUUUAAUUGACUGCUGUGUGUCCAUCUCCCCCAUAUUCACUGGCCUAAGCAAGUGGCAGUUCUUAGCUGACCAUUGCCCAUUGCAAAAGCUAACUAGGAUUGGCCCUGAUUUGCAUUUCAAUGAAAGACUACCUGGCACUCCUGAGACUUGGCCAGAUUAGAGAAAGAAAAUAACAGCAAACCAUUUCUGUAUAGUUAUCCUUAAAAAGUUUAUGAACUCUCUUAGAUUUUCAGUAUUUCUCUAUAAAUAUGACUUAAAAUGUGAUCUGUCAUCCACACAAUUGCUAGAACUAUAUAAAGAGAAAACCAAUUAAACAAAUGACUUAACAUACUUAUUCAUUUCUUUACUGAGGGAAAGAAUACAAAGCUACAUAUUUGUCUAUCACAAAAUAUGUGAACUUUUGCUUUCAGUAAUUGCUGAUAUUUUGGAGAGGCCAAGUCCUGACCCUAAUCCUAAAGAAAUCUUGUGGAAGGACUUGAAGUAAGUAAGUUCAUGUGAGAAAUCCCACCAAUAUCCCUUAGUUUGGAGAUACUCAAUAAAGAGGAAUGCAUUAAAAUUUCCACACCAAUCUGUCAGACUGAUCAGUUACUGGAAAUGUUUAGUUGCAGUUAUUGCUGCCCAGUGGGGCAUGGCUGUCUGAAAGCAAAGAUUCACGUGCUUGCCACACACAGAUAUGUAGCUUUGGAACAAGUUUAAUAUUUUAACUCAUUUAUUUAAUUGGCUUUGUUUAUCCAGUUGCCAGAUUGGCAUGGAGGACAGGUUAUGUUUUAGGUCAUAUUUAUGCAGAAAUACUGAAAAUUCAAAGGGGUUUGCAAACAUUUAAACACUAACUCUGCCAAGAUAACUGCUUGACUCAAGAGUGUCUUUACUUUUUUAUUGUUCAUCAAGGCAUAAAUCAGAAUUUAAUAAGUGGAUCAGUCACUUGCACUUUUUCUUAAAUUGCUCAACCAUUUGUAGAGCUUGAUGGAGACUGAUACCUUAGGAGGAGUUUCUUAACUUCAAUAGACAAAAUUGAUUUUUAUCCUUGACCUUUGUCUAUCCUGAGUCAUUUAUAAAGCUCAGUUUAUCCCUUCCCCUUCCUUCCCUUUUCUCCCAUCUAGCUAUCUUCGUUUUGAACAGCAACUAUAUGAAGGAAAGUGGAAGAACUGAGUAAUAAUAGCAUUUUAAUAUUCGAUGACAGGUAUAUUUCUCAACUGCUGUUAGACAUUAUUAAGGUAUGGCCAGUUUACAGGGCAUACAUAAACAACACAAGGAUAGAAGUUUUUCUGUUGUAAAAACAUACUCUGAAGUUUACACAAAAUGGCUGCUCUUUCUGAGGCAAAUUUUUAGUUCAUAGAGAUGUUUUGAAGAUCAUUCAUUUCUGUACCUCAGUAUUUUCCUUUGCUGUUUCAUAAAUGUAUAUAUAUUGCAAUGCAGAUAAUGGCUUGUUAUCUAUAAGCCUAUGAUAGUGUUCUUGAUUAUUUGGGGAUCAUUCCCCAUUACCACUUGAUAAAUAUGUCACUUACCACUCUAUCUGUAGUGGUGUUUGCAUUCAUUUGUGACGAGACAAGAAAGAGGAAACAGACGGUUGGAUCUAUGCAGCAACUAGGAGGUAAAACUCAAAUGUUAUCUGCCGAGUGAACAUAAGCCACAGGGGUAGUUUCUCACGGUGGUAUCUCUCUGAUGAUUAAUGGUCAUGCUGUACUCAUCCAAUUUCACUUUGCCAUCCACAGAGGCCCAUAAGGUAAGCAGCAUAAUGCUUUUUAAAAUUGAAUCUUUUCCAACUUAUGUGUGGGGUUAUAAAUGAAGCAGAGUCUCCU